AUUGUGAAGACCUCUCUGCUCUCAGACUUGGCUCAUUGUGAAGACCUCUCUGCUCUCUAUCCUUCCUGGGUCACCGACUGUCCAGAGAAUGAACUCCCAGAGCUUCACUCUGCUCCUCGCACUGCUCAGUGUCCUGACACUGACCUCCACUGCAUAUGAAGCCCCUUGCACUGGACAGGUUUGCUGCAUCAGGUUCACAAAGCACAAAAUCCCAAAGAAAUUAAUCAGCUCCUACUGGAGAACCAGCAGCUGCUGCCUCACAAACGCUGUAGUGUUUGAGAUAAAGAAUGGAAAGAGAAUCUGUGCUGACCCCAGCGUGCACUGGGUGAG
Lepisosteus oculatus (spotted gar) is the source of this 330-nucleotide long non-coding RNA. RefSeq lists it as uncharacterized. Lineage: Eukaryota; Metazoa; Chordata; Actinopteri; Semionotiformes; Lepisosteidae. The record is from RefSeq and is a predicted model, not a curated record.